RNAcentral lists this long non-coding RNA (2149 nucleotides) under Citrus sinensis (sweet orange). Its description in RNAcentral is "long non-coding RNA (CSIN_LNC003087)". Lineage: Eukaryota; Viridiplantae; Streptophyta; Magnoliopsida; Sapindales; Rutaceae. The record is from RNAcentral.
CCUUUUUAUAAUGAAAGUCGAGAUCAUUGAUUUCUCGUAUUGCGAAAUCCGGUGGCCUUAUUAAAUUUAGAUCACUUGGAUUUUUUUUUACAAGAAAUAAUCCUGAAAAUUAAAAUCACAACGUUCUAUAUAUAGCUCAACGAAGUCUUCGUUCUCUCUUGUCCCCAAAAAUUGGACAAUUUUCCCCUCAAAAUUUUCUCUCAAUACUUGAAGAUUCGUGUUCAAAUGCACCAUAAUCUUUGGGUAACACUUUGACAACUACAUUACGUUCAUUGUGCGUGCCACUGUACACAGUCAUGCCCACACUCGAACUACUAAUUUCGUUUAGCCAAUUGACCUCCAUUUAAUGUACUGCAAAGAGAAAUACGAAGAUAAAUUCAACAUAACAUUUAUUUCUUCAACAAUUCCGGAAUAUAAAAGUUGUAAAAUAAAGAUUAAGGUAAAUAAUCCAAUAAAAAAAACCUCUCAAAACUAUCAUAACAUAAAUAAAUAUUUAAAUCAUACAAAAUUCAUUCAAAUGUUACUUUGGAUGAUAGUACAAAAUAUUUAAAUGUACACUAAUCUAUUUCAUUUGAUGUAGAGAUGAAUAAUGUGCACUUAUUUACUUCAUUGAAGUAGACAUAAAUAAAGUAUACUAAUUAAAUACAAUGUACUAGCAUGUAAAUUGGGUAUAUGAACACAGGUUUACAAGAAUUUUUUCAAGCUUUUGGAAAAUAAUUUAAAAACUUUUGACAUCAAAUAAAACCAAUACGAAAAUUAAAUUAAUUUAGAACUUCCAAAAACUAGAAUUCAAAUACUACUUUAUUUCAAAGGUCACUGCAUACAAAAAAAAAUAGAAAAAAAAUAAAAAAAAUAAAUAAAUGAUAAUAGAAAACAAGGCCAAGAAAAAAUAAGUAAUAUUCAAAAUUUUUAAUGCAUGUCCUAAAUUCUUGGGUAGGACCAAAUAAGUUUUUUCUCCAACCCAAAAAAAAAAAAACUUUAAUACGAACUAAACACAAAACUAUUUACUAAUUUCUAACAAUAUAUUUUUUAAAAGAAAAUUUUUAACAACAAUAUUAAAAAAGAAAAUUAUUCUCGGACUAGCAUACUUGUUAUAUGAAAUUUUUAUGUUAACUUUAAUUUAACGAUAAACUAUCUUUGGAAGAUAAAGAUUAGAGUGCAUCUACAAUAAAUAAGAACAAAAUUGAGUGCAUGAAUGAUGAGAGAAUACAUCUAGAAUGAACAAGAACAAAAUUGAUUGUAUGAAUAACAUAAAUCAUCGAAUAGCAUCUACCAUGAGCAACUUACAAAAUGCAAUAGAAACUAAGCACCUAAAAAUAACUGUCAAAAUUUCAUCAGCAUAUAGAUUUGUUCUUGUGAGUAGAAUGCAUUCAAAAUCUAAACCUUGUUAAUUUAUUCAUUUACUUGUAUAUUUAUUGUAGUUAUCAUAAUUAUGAUAAUUUGUCAGCAUACCCAAACAAUUAGUUCAGAUAGCUAGAGCACGUAAAGUAUCUAGAUUGCUAAUUACCAUAUCAUUUAAAAUGGUAGUAAUAUCAAUACCACAGUAGGGGGGAAAAACUCAAAUCAAUAUAAUUUUUAGCUUUUUCUUUCAAUUUUCUAGCAUGAAACACUAGAACGAAAUAAAAUUGCUGCAGAAAUCAAUAUUACAUCAUUUCCUGUUGCAGAUUCACAAUACGCAGCAGGAGAAGGAAAUACCAGGAAUGUAGAGUGCGAGCAGCCCACUGUUACUGUGAUAGCAGGAGGACCUACACUUGUUGGCGGUUCUAACAGGGCACAAAAGGAUUACAAAAGGCAUGCGAUGAUAAGCAGAGAAGUACUCUUCAAUUUGCCCACAAUGAAGAAGGUGAAGGUGAGACAAGUUUCGAUCAUGUGGACAGAUGAUGAUGAGGAGGGCAUUCUGUAUCCUCACAAGGACGCCUUGGUGAUAAGAGCAAAUGUAGCGUGCAAAGAAUUUAAUCGGAUACUUGUAGAUGGAGGGAGUUCAGUGGACAUACUCUUUAAAUCAACUCUCGAGGAGAUGGGAAUUGAAGAUCUAAAAUUGGAGCACACGAAUACUUCUUUGAAGGGAUUGGAGGAGGAAGGUUGACUCCAAUGGGGUUCGCAGAGCUACCGGUUACUAUAGCCUCGAGGUCCUUAUAAGAUUAUCUUU